GACAGAGGGUGCAAACGUUGUUCGGAAUCACUGGGCGUAAAGCGUGUGUAGGCGGCUCCAAAAGUCGGAUGUGAAAGCCCCGAGCUCAACUUGGGAAGUGCAUUCGAUACUGUGGAGCUUGAGUACUGGAGAGGUUGGUGGAAUUCUCGGUGUAGAGGUGAAAUUCGUAGAUAUCGGGAAGAACAUCGGUGGCGAAGGCGGCCAACUGGACAGAUACUGACGCUGAGACACGAAAGCGUGGGGAGCAAACAGG
RNAcentral lists this ribosomal RNA (253 nucleotides) under uncultured bacterium. RNAcentral's name for it is "partial 16S ribosomal RNA". It matches the Rfam family "Bacterial small subunit ribosomal RNA", at positions 524 to 776 of the family's 1533-position model. The record is from RNAcentral.